Long non-coding RNA from Diprion similis, 757 nucleotides. RefSeq lists it as uncharacterized. The transcript has 3 exons. Lineage: Eukaryota; Metazoa; Arthropoda; Insecta; Hymenoptera; Diprionidae. The record is from RefSeq and is a predicted model, not a curated record.
UUCUAAUAUCAGGAUAGUGCGUUAGAAUCCACGGGAUGUGUGGCCAACGCGUCAGGAUGAUUUGUAGAAUGCACGAAAUCGAUUGGAAAAACUUACACCUCGCUGCACGUCAUCACGUAAUAUGCAUCACUCAUGCUUGGAAGAGGCUCAACCUAAUAAGCAUCACGUCGCUUCGAAGGGAAUGACGGAAAGGGCGACGAAUACACGAUUCGUAUGCAAGUCGCGUGACUCGAGAAAGUAAGUUCUCCAACUUGCCCGAGGCUUCAUAUUUCCUACUGCUGAUCCUCUCAACGAAAGGAUAUCUCCGUUUGCUGUCAGGAUUAUCAGUUCAUGGUCUUCCCGAAGCACCGAAAAUUUUUAAAACUGCAAGGAUAGCAAGUGACAGCGACCGGGUCAGGGCGUAACGAUCUUCCCAAAAAGGUGGAGAAACAUUGAACAGAAAUAGAAUAAUCGAUGGCUUCUGAGAAAUGGCGUUACCACUGCAUCAAAUAUGGAAGUACACGAGGACACGUUUUGCAUGAAAUUUUCUGCAGACGCUCCACGGUAAAGGAGUUAUUUCGGUCAUUUGUUGAAUCCCUCUGUGCAUACCGCUCGAUGCUUCAACGUUAAUUAAGUCUCCUGUAGUUCCUGCGGCUGGCCUGGCAUUGAGACGGGAAGAACGAGGCCACGAAACUCUGCCUUCGCAUUUGUACUACGACUCAAGAUUCGAUCAGUUUUUCCUUGCGACCAACAUGUCCGUUGACAGCCUCGAUCAACC